CAACAGAAGGAAUGCUGCAAACCUGGGAAAUAGCAAACGGGAUCUCUCAUAGAGGAUACGGCUUUUUAUUACAAAUAAAAUUCCUUUUUUUCAUGCAGGUUAUUCCAAAGCCUAGUGUGCUGAUUGUUCAUUUCAGUCAGCCUGCACCACCUUUUAUCAUCUGUGUCAAAAUGGACCUAACUGGUGGCAGUUUUGAGAGCAACUUGGCUUCUCUAAACCUCGUUGAGGGAAAAGAUUACAUCUUCUUCAGCUGACACUGACAUUGGUGAAACUAAGCACACAAACCUACAACACAAUUGAAGAGGCAAAAAUGGCUCGACUAUUGGACUGUUCGGCCUUCUGCAAUUCUACAUGUUAUUUUUGUAAAUAAAUAGUUUCUUUUGUUUCAAAUACAAAUUUCCAUAUUAAAGAGCGAAAGUGUGAUGUCAUAUCAGACAGAAACCACAACGUUGCAAUUAGUGUUGCACCAAAAGUUGCCAGAAAUUUGGAUAUCUCGUUGUCAUAAUUUUUUCUUUAGUAAUUCGUUGUUAUGUCAAAACAUGGCAGUAAGCCAUUGAACAAACCUUUCUCAUAAAUAUUUCAGUGAAAACAAUUUUGGUUCAGAAUUUCUACAGAGUAACAGAUAAUAAGAACAGUGUCUCCCUGAAAUGACAUCACAGAAACAGCGCCCUUGGUUAUCCACAAGGCAUGAAUUGUUUUUAAUAAUUAAAGAAAGGUAUUUUUCAAUAAACUUAAAGAAGAUUAGAAAAACCAUCCCCCAUUAGAAUGAUCUACUUUGGCAAAAUAAUUAUAAUUGCCUAGAUAAACGCAUUCCCCUUAAAUAAGAGACUUUUAUUAUAACAGAACUUUUAUUUUAAUAGAACUUGAAAAAUGCAUAUUGUGUACUUGCCUUGUCGAUAAUCUUCGCACACCAAAUACAUCCCUUCACCAAAUUCAUUGAAAAUUCCUGUAAUAUAUAAAUCCAGUGAAAAACAAUUAUAUUAUUUUGUUUUCAUAUACCAUGUAAAUACAUCUGAACUGCCUCUUCAAACAAACAAAAAUUGUUGGUCUCACCAUCACAUUUUAAUUUUUCUUAAAGUAUAUUGAUCUUAAUAAUUCAUUAACAUCAUUAUAUCAUUUUGUAUUUUAUUUAUACAGUGAAAUCUCGAUAAGUCAAACUCUGAUAACUCAAAACAACUGUUCAGUCAAACAAAGAAUCCAUUGCCUUCAGUAGUAUAACAAUGAUAUACAACCCUACUAUACUCAAAACUCUGCUUAAGUCAAAUUUUGAACCUGUUUCCUUGAGGUAUGACUUAUCGAGAUUUCACUGUAUUGGUAAUUUGUGUCAAAAAAGUUACGGGUUUUUUACAUUCUUUAAAAUAAAAUGUGUUUGUUUUACUCUAGAAAUAACUAA
This is a long non-coding RNA of Patiria miniata (bat star), 1393 nucleotides long. RefSeq lists it as uncharacterized. The record is from RefSeq and is a predicted model, not a curated record. Lineage: Eukaryota; Metazoa; Echinodermata; Asteroidea; Valvatida; Asterinidae. The transcript is spliced from 3 exons.